This 397-nucleotide ribosomal RNA is filed under the name uncultured bacterium. RNAcentral's name for it is "bacterial SSU rRNA". It matches the Rfam family "Bacterial small subunit ribosomal RNA", at positions 362 to 776 of the family's 1533-position model. The record is from RNAcentral.
UAUUGCACAAUGGGGGAAACCCUGAUGCAGCAACGCCGCGUGAGUGAAGAAGUAUUUCGGUAUGUAAAGCUCUAUCCGCAGGGAAGAAGAUGACGGUACCUGACCAAGAAGCCCCGGCUAACUACGUGCCAGCAGCCGCGGUAAUACGUAGGGGGCAAGCGUUAUCCGGAUUUACUGGGUGUAAAGGGAGCGCAGACGGCAGUGCAAGUCUGGAGGGAAAGCCCGGGGCCCAACCCCGGAACUGCUCUGGAAACUGUGCGGCUAGAGUACUGGAGGGGCAGGCGGAAUUCCUAGUGUAGCGGUGAAAUGCGUAGAUAUGAGGGGGAACACCAGUGGCGAAGGCGGCCUGCUGGACAGUAACUAACGUUGAGGCUCGAAAGCGUGGGGAGCAAACAGG